UGUUCAUACACGUGGGUUUGUUUGUUUCUUUUAACCCCUAAUUAUGAAAUGUUAAGCCUAGACAUUGCUUAUUUCUCUUCUAAAGAACAUAUAGUUUCUAUUAAAUAGUGUAGCAUUGGUGAGCGCAGAUGGCAGCCAAAGGAAGGAAGUCAGCAUCGCCGUGGUAUGAGUGUGAGAGUUGCCACGUGGUUCUCUCUCACAAGGACCUGGUAGUUCACCAAGAGGGCUGUUGCCCUGCCGUAGCAGACAGCUGCACUCAUGGCUUCAUCAAAGAUAAAGUGCUGUUUGGGUUCUUGGAAGAGGCAACAGCCACAGAGUUCGUGCCGAAGGGGGAACUCAAAAACAUGGUGAUGCUCUCAGUGCCGGCCAUGCAGCUGUGUGGUGUAGCCAUCGGGGACCCCGUGGUCGUGACUUGUGAUGGAGUACCUGUAGUCAUGACUGCCUGGCCGACCAGUCACAAGUCCCUGCUGGCGGUUCAUGUGCUCAGAGACAGUAA
This is a long non-coding RNA of Bacillus rossius redtenbacheri, 496 nucleotides long. RefSeq lists it as uncharacterized. The record is from RefSeq and is a predicted model, not a curated record. The transcript is spliced from 3 exons. Lineage: Eukaryota; Metazoa; Arthropoda; Insecta; Phasmatodea; Bacillidae.